This 506-nucleotide ribosomal RNA is filed under the name uncultured bacterium. RNAcentral's name for it is "partial 16S ribosomal RNA". It matches the Rfam family "Bacterial small subunit ribosomal RNA", at positions 30 to 523 of the family's 1533-position model. The record is from RNAcentral.
AUUGAACGCUGGCGGCAUGCUUUACACAUGCAAGUCGAACGGCAGCACGAAGAAGCUUGCUUCUUUGGUGGCGAGUGGCGAACGGGUGAGUAACACAUCGGAAUGUACCGUUUAGUGGGGGACAACUUUCAGAAAUGGAAGCUAAUACCGCAUACGAACUAAGGUUGAAAGCAGGGGACUCUCGGGCCUUGCGCUAAACGAGCAGCCGAUGGAAGAUUAGGUAGUUGGUGGGGUAAAGGCUCACCAAGCCAGCGAUCUUUAGCGGGUCUGAGAGGACGAUCCGCCACACUGGAACUGAGACACGGUCCAGACUCCUACGGGAGGCAGCAGAGGGGAAUUUUGGACAAUGGGGGCAACCCUGAUCCAGCAAUGCCGCGUGAGUGAAGAAGGCCUUCGGGUUGUAAAGCUCUUUUGUUAGGGAAGAAGAGGACGCCGCUAAUAUCGGUGUCUGAUGACGGUACCUAAAGAAUAAGCACCGGCUAACUACGUGCCAGCCGCCGCAGUAA